GAAUGUGCAUUGCUGUGGGCAAGGAGUAUGACACUGCAAAAGGGAUUAGACACAUCUUUUGAAAGGGUUUUGGGAGAGAAAGUCCCAUUGAUGUUACCUUAAAUUCUGGGGAAAUGUCUUCAGCAAGUUUCCAGUGUGAUGCGCAUAGAAGAGCUUUCCUCAGUCUGUUGGAAAGGGCAGGGAAAGUGAAGUGACCCACUGGGCCAGGUCAGCAUUGACCUAGCUAGAAACUUGGCCAGUGGACUGAACUGAAGUGCCUGGAGGACUUAAGUGCCAGGACAUGAAUGUUUCUUGCAAGAGAGAGAAGUACUACACAUCUGGGGAGAAAGUCAAUCUGGAGCCAUCUUGGGUCCUGCGAGAGCAAGGGCAUGCCAACAGAGAAUCUGCGUGCAGUGAACCACCCGGAAACCAGGUGCCAAGCAGGCUGCGGAGCCCUGGGGAAUGUCCAGAUUAAAGAUACAUCAUCUUUCGUGGUGCUGACAAGUCAAAUGACACUAAGAGCAAAAGUGAAGAAGGUAAUUUUUGAGGAUGGCAGCUUCUUGUUUCAUUAUCUGGGAGAUCACCCAGCUCCCCAUACUUCACCCUGUCUAUGCAAAAGAGGCAAAGGACCAAAAAUCAAGUUGGCUUCAGGAAGUUUUUCAAAGAAGCAAAUCCACGAUCAGCAGCCAUGCAGCACGUUAUCACUGGGAAGAGAUGGCCCUUCAUGGGUAGGACAUUUUCAUGGGUAACCCUCACUCCACCCCUACCACAGACCCCAGCUCACAUAAUGACAAUCCCUAGUCAGUGCGGGAAGGCUGUGGUAUGUCCGGCAAAUUUGGUUCCAGACAACAAAAACCUAUAAAGCUCAUUUUGGACAACAGAUGAUUCUGAAGGCCUUUUCAGAGUUUACUUAUUCUAUAAUCUGUGUAACAGUUUAAUAUGCCAAAUCUUUUAACUCUUAUUCAUAUAGAAAGCUAAGCCAUCCCAAGAAGCACAUUUCAAAAGCUGUCAACCAAAAUACCGAAAGCCUCUGGUAUCUAAAAUAGCCAUCCAACAACGUAUUUAUUCUUUUCACCAGGGAUCAACCAAUUUUUCCUGUAAAGGGCCAGGUAGUAAAUACUUUAGGCUUUGUGAGCCUGUUGCAACUACUCAACUCUGUACUUUUUUUUUUUUUUUUCAACUCUGUACUUUUGUUUUGAAAGUAGUCACAGGCGAUUUAUAAAUGAAUGAGCAGGGCCUUGUUCCGGUAAACCUUCACUUAUGGAUAAUGAGAUUUGAAUUUCAUAUAAUUUUCACAUGUCGCUAAAUGUUAUUCUUCUUGUGUUUCUUUCCAAUUAUUUAAAAGUGUAAAACCCUUCUUAGCUCCAAGGCCAUACAACAAUAGGGGACUAACCAUAGUUCGUCAAUCCCUGCUCUACCCACACAAGGGACUCACUUGCUUUAUGGGCCAUUAUACAGUCCUUCGGCAGGAUCAACUUGACCCAUAGAAGUAAAACAAAAUUCAGUGAAGCAUCAUACAAACAUCAUACAAACAAGUUGCCCAAAGAGCCCUCUGAAUUUUGAACCGACAGGGCCUUUUAUACAAAUGCUCUGAGAUAGUGACUUUAACAGAAAUGAUGUAAAGGAAUCCCAGAUUCCUAAAUAAAAUCCUUCUUGCAUUUAAUGGUUAAAAAAAA
Molecule: long non-coding RNA, 1655 nt
Filed under: Vulpes vulpes (red fox)
Lineage: Eukaryota; Metazoa; Chordata; Mammalia; Carnivora; Canidae
Description: lncRNA (ENSVVUG00000018107.1)
Source: RNAcentral